Sphaeramia orbicularis (orbiculate cardinalfish) is the source of this 455-nucleotide long non-coding RNA. RefSeq lists it as uncharacterized. The record is from RefSeq and is a predicted model, not a curated record. The transcript is spliced from 3 exons. Lineage: Eukaryota; Metazoa; Chordata; Actinopteri; Kurtiformes; Apogonidae.
UGUAUGCACCUAUAGUUGUUGACAGUGAGUCUGAGACAAAUGACCACACAGACUACCCUGCAAAGGAAAGUCCACAGGAUUUGAGCUUGAGUACUGUAGACAUUAUUUCAGAACUGGCCUCCAAGAUUACCAAUACAUCAUACAGCAGGUUCAACAUCAACAGGGCAAAUAUAUGGGAUGAAGUACUCAGAGGCUUCAAGUGACCAACAUAUGAUCCAUCCCAUGAAAUUUUGGUUAAAUUCACUGAUGAUGAGGGACGAACAGAGGAUGCAGUAGACACUGGUGGUCCCAAAUGGGAGUUCCUUACCCUGCUGAUGGACUGCCUUAGAUUACGGAGAAUCUUUGAUGGUCCAGAAGAUAGGAAAUUUCUCAUGUUUGACUGUGCAGCUGCCAGAGAUGAUGAAUAGUUUCACAUUGGGAAGAGGAUCGCUACAUCAAUAGUCCAUGGUGGUCCA